This is a non-coding RNA of Acanthosepion pharaonis, 112 nucleotides long. Lineage: Eukaryota; Metazoa; Mollusca; Cephalopoda; Sepiida; Sepiidae. The record is from the annotation of a GenBank genome assembly.
UACAGCCAUAUCUCAUUGAAACACUGGUUCCCAUAUGAUUACUGAAGUUAAGCAAUGUCAAGCCUGGUUAGUACCUAGAUGGGUGACUGCUUGAUAAUACCAAGUUCUGUAA